GACGAACGCUGGCGGCGUGCUUAACACAUGCAAGUCGAACGGAAAGGCCCUGCUUUUGUGGGGUGCUCGAGUGGCGAACGGGUGAGUAACACGUGAGUAACCUGCCCUUGACUUUGGGAUAACUUCAGGAAACUGGGGCUAAUACCGGAUAGGAGCUCCUGCUGCAUGGUGGGGGUUGGAAAGUUUCGGCGGUUGGGGAUGGACUCGCGGCUUAUCAGCUUGUUGGUGGGGUAGUGGCUUACCAAGGCUUUGACGGGUAGCCGGCCUGAGAGGGUGACCGGCCACAUUGGGACUGAGAUACGGCCCAGACUCCUACGGGAGGCAGCAGUGGGGAAUAUUGCACAAUGGGCGGAAGCCUGAUGCAGCAACGCCGCGUGCGGGAUGACGGCCUUCGGGUUGUAAACCGCUUUCGCCUGUGACGAAGCGUGAGUGACGGUAAUGGGUAAAGAAGCACCGGCUAACUACGUGCCAGCAGCCGCGGUGAUACGUAGGGUGCGAGCGUUGUCCGGAUUUAUUGGGCGUAAAGGGCUCGUAGGUGGUUGAUCGCGUCGGAAGUGUAAUCUUGGGGCUUAACCCUGAGCGUGCUUUCGAUACGGGUUGACUUGAGGAAGGUAGGGGAGAAUGGAAUUCCUGGUGGAGCGGUGGAAUGCGCAGAUAUCAGGAGGAACACCAGUGGCGAAGGCGGUUCUCUGGGCCUUUCCUGACGCAGAGGAGCGAAAGCGUGGGGAGCGAACAGGCUUAGAUACCCUGGUAGUCCACGCUGUAAACGGUGGGUACUAGGUGUGGGGUCCAUUCCACGGGUUCCGUGCCGUAGCUAACGCUUUAAGUACCCCGCCUGGGGAGUACGGCCGCAAGGCUAAAACUCAAAGGAAUUGACGGGGCCCCGCACAAGCGGCGGAGCAUGCGGAUUAAUUCGAUGCAACGCGUAGAACCUUACCUGGGUUUGACAUGGAUCGGGAGCGCUCAGAGAUGGGUGUGCCUCUUUUGGGGUCGGUUCACAGGUGGUGCAUGGCUGUCGUCAGCUCGUGUCGUGAGAUGUUGGGUUAAGUCCCGCAACGAGCGCAACCCUUGUUCACUGUUGCCAGCACGUUAUGGUGGGGACUCAGUGGAGACCGCCGGGGUCAACUCGGAGGAAGGUGGGGAUGACGUCAAGUCAUCAUGCCCCUUAUGUCCAGGGCUUCACGCAUGCUACAAUGGCUGGUACAGAGAGUGGCGAGCCUGUGAGGGUGAGCGAAUCUCGGAAAGCCGGUCUCAGUUCGGAUUGGGGUCUGCAACUCGACCUCAUGAAGUCGGAGUCGCUAGUAAUCGCAGAUCAGCAACGCUGCGGUGAAUACGUUCCCGGG
This 1343-nucleotide ribosomal RNA is filed under the name uncultured bacterium. Its description in RNAcentral is "16S ribosomal RNA". It matches the Rfam family "Bacterial small subunit ribosomal RNA", at positions 28 to 1378 of the family's 1533-position model. The record is from RNAcentral.